CCUACGGGAGGCUGCAGUGGGGAAUAUUGGACAAUGGGGGGAACCCUGAUCCAGCCAUGCCGCGUGUGUGAAGAAGGCCCUCGGGUUGUAAAGCACUUUCAGUGAGGAAGAACGCCUGGUGGUUAAUACCCAUCAGGAAAGACAUCACUCACAGAAGAAGCACCGGCUAACUCCGUGCCAGCAGCCGCGGUAAUACGGAGGGUGCGAGCGUUAAUCGGAAUUACUGGGCGUAAAGCGCGCGUAGGUGGCUUGAUAAGCCGGUUGUGAAAGCCCCGGGCUCAACCUGGGAACGGCAUCCGGAACUGUCAAGCUAGAGUGCAGGAGAGGAAGGUAGAAUUCCCGGUGUAGCGGUGAAAUGCGUAGAGAUCGGGAGGAAUACCGGUGGCGAAGGCGGCCUUCUGGACUGACACUGACACUGAGGUGCGAAAGCGUGGGUAGCAAACAGGAUUAGAUACCCCUGUAGUC
Molecule: ribosomal RNA, 465 nt
Filed under: Vreelandella stevensii
Lineage: Bacteria; Pseudomonadati; Pseudomonadota; Gammaproteobacteria; Oceanospirillales; Halomonadaceae
Description: partial 16S ribosomal RNA
Rfam family: Bacterial small subunit ribosomal RNA
Source: RNAcentral